Molecule: ribosomal RNA, 400 nt
Filed under: phytoplankton environmental sample
Lineage: Eukaryota
Description: partial small subunit ribosomal RNA
Rfam family: Eukaryotic small subunit ribosomal RNA
Source: RNAcentral
AGCUCCAAUAGCGUAUAUUAAAGUUGUUGCAGUUAAAAAGCUCGUAGUUGGAUAUCGGGCGUGUGGACAUGGUCCGCGGAAACGUGAGCACUGUGGUUCUGCGCGCCUUCCUUCCGUAGGCCGCGUGUGCCCUUAACUGGGUGUGCGUGGAAUGCGGAUCGUUUACUUUGAAUAAAUUAGAGUGUUCAAAGCAGGCUUUCGCUUGAAUACAUUAGCAUGGAAUAAUGGAAUAGGACUUUGGUUCUAUUUUGUUGGUUUCUAGGACCGAAGUAAUGAUUAAUAGGGAUAGUUGGGGGCAUUAAUAUUUAAUUGUCAGAGGUGAAAUUCUUGGAUUUAUGAAAGAUUAACUUCUGCGAAAGCAUUUGCCAAGGAUGUUUUCAUUAAUCAAGAACGAAAGUAG